AACCUUUACACUGCACGACAGUGCGAUAAGGGAAUCCCAAGUGCGUAGGCAUAGAGCCUACGCUUUUGUCCACCGUAGGGAGGUGGACGAAUAAGGGCUGGGCAAGACCGGUGCCAGCCGCCGCGGUAAUACCGGCAGCCCGAGUGAUGGCCGAUCUUAUUGGGCCUAAAGCGUCCGUAGCUGGCCGCACAAGUCCAUCGGAAAAUCCACCUGCUCAACAGGUGGGCGUCCGGUGGAAACUGUGUGGCUUGGGACCGGAAGGCGCGACGGGUACGUCCGGGGUAGGAGUGAAAUCCUGUAAUCCUGGACGGACCGCCGAUGGCGAAAGCACGUCGCGAAGACGGAUCCGACAGUGAGGGACGAAAGCUAGGGUCUCGAACCGGAUUAGAUACCCGGGUAGUCCUAGCCGUAAACAAUGCCUGUUAGGUGUGGCUCCCACUACGAGUGGGUGCUGUGCCGUAGGGAAGCCGCUAAACAGGCCGCCUGGGAAGUACGUCCGCAAGGAUGAAACUUAAAGGAAUUGGCGGGGGAGCAC
This 535-nucleotide ribosomal RNA is filed under the name uncultured archaeon. Its description in RNAcentral is "bacterial SSU rRNA". It matches the Rfam family "Archaeal small subunit ribosomal RNA", at positions 345 to 879 of the family's 1478-position model. The record is from RNAcentral.